GAGUUUGAUUCUCGCUCAGAUUGAACACUGGCGGCAGGCCUAACACAUGCAAGUCGAGCGGCAGCACGGGUACUUGUACCUGGUGGCGAGCGGCUUUACCCGUGAGUAAUGCCUAGGAAUCUGCCUGGUAGUGGGGGAUAACGCUCGGAAACGGACGCUAAUACCGCAUACGUCCUACGGGAGAAAGCAGGGGACCUUCGGGCCUUGCGCUAUCAGAUGAGCCUAGGUCGGAUUAGCUAGUUGGUGAGGUAAUGGCUCACCAAGGCGACGAUCCGUAACUGGUCUGAGAGGAUGAUCAGUCACACUGGAACUGAGACACGGUCCAGACUCCUACGGGAGGCAGCAGUGGGGAAUAUUGGACAAUGGGCGAAAGCCUGAUCCAGCCAUGCCGCGUGUGUGAAGAAGGUCUUCGGAUUGUAAAGCACUUUAAGUUGGGAGGAAGGGCAGUUACCUAAUACGUAAUUGUUUUGACUUUACCGACAGAAUAAGCACCGGCUAAGUCUGUGCCAGCAGCCGCGGUAAUACAGAGGGUGCAAGCGUUAAUCGGAAUUACUGGGCGUAAAGCGCGCGUAGGUGGUUCGUUAAGUUGGAUGUGAAAUCCCCGGGCUCAACCUGGGAACUGCAUUCAAAACUGUCGAGCUAGAGUAUGGUAGAGGGUGGUGGAAUUUCCUGUGU
This 675-nucleotide ribosomal RNA is filed under the name uncultured bacterium. Its description in RNAcentral is "bacterial SSU rRNA". It matches the Rfam family "Bacterial small subunit ribosomal RNA", at positions 9 to 676 of the family's 1533-position model. The record is from RNAcentral.